UGGGGAAUAUUGGACAAUGGGCGAAAGCCUGAUCCAGCCAUGCCGCGUGUGUGAAGAAGGUCUUCGGAUUGUAAAGCACUUUAAGUUGGGAGGAAGGGCAUUAACCUAAUACGUUAGUGUUUUGACGUUACCGACAGAAUAAGCACCGGCUAACUCUGUGCCAGCAGCCGCGGUAAUACAGAGGGAGCAAGCGUUAAUCGGAAUUACUGGGCGUAAAGCGCGCGUAGGUGGUUUGUUAAGUUGGAUGUGAAAUCCCCGGGCUCAACCUGGGAACUACAUUCAAAACUGACUGACUAGAGUAUGGUAGAGGGUGGUGGAAUUUCCUGUGUAGCGGUGAAAUGCGUAGAUAUAGGAAGGAACACCAGUGGCGAAGGCGACCACCUGGACUAAUACUGACACUGAGGUGCGAAAGCGUGGGGAGCAAACA
Molecule: ribosomal RNA, 427 nt
Filed under: uncultured bacterium
Lineage: Bacteria
Description: partial 16S ribosomal RNA
Rfam family: Bacterial small subunit ribosomal RNA
Source: RNAcentral